This 442-nucleotide ribosomal RNA is filed under the name uncultured bacterium. Its description in RNAcentral is "partial 16S ribosomal RNA". It matches the Rfam family "Bacterial small subunit ribosomal RNA", at positions 338 to 795 of the family's 1533-position model. The record is from RNAcentral.
CCUACGGGGGGCAGCAGUGGGGAAUAUUGCGCAAUGGGCGAAAGCCUGAUGCAGCAACGCCGCGUGAAGGAAGAAGGGUUUCGGCUCGUAAACUUCUAUCAACAGGGACGAAAGAAAUGACGGUACCUGAAUAAGAAGCCCCGGCUAACUACGUGCCCGCAGCCGCGGUAAUACGGAGGAUGCGAGCGUGAUCCGGAUUUAUUGGGUUAAAAAGGUGCGUAGGCGGGAUGCCAAGUCAGCGGUAAAAAUGCGGUGCUAAACGCCGUCGAGCCGUUGAAACUGGCGUUCUUGAGUGGGCGAGAAGUAUGCGGAAUGCGUGGUGUAGCGGUGAAAUGCAUAGAUAUCACGCAGAACUCCGAUUGCGAAGGCAGCAUACCGGCGCCCUACUGACGCUGAGGCACGAAAGCGUGGGUAUCGAACAGGAUUAGAUACCCGUGUAGUC